This 85-nucleotide transfer RNA is filed under the name Felis catus (domestic cat). It matches the Rfam family "tRNA". Rfam says of the family: Transfer RNA (tRNA) molecules are approximately 80 nucleotides in length. Their secondary structure includes four short double-helical elements and three loops (D, anti-codon, and T loops). Lineage: Eukaryota; Metazoa; Chordata; Mammalia; Carnivora; Felidae. The record is from Rfam by way of RNAcentral.
GCCUGGGUGGCUCAGUCGGUUGAGCGUCUGACUUCGGCUCAGGUCAUGAUCUCGCAGUCUGUGAGUUUGAGCCCCGCGUCGGGCU